Molecule: RNA transcript, 4607 nt
Organism: Salvia miltiorrhiza (redroot sage)
Lineage: Eukaryota; Viridiplantae; Streptophyta; Magnoliopsida; Lamiales; Lamiaceae
Gene name: indole-3-acetaldehyde oxidase-like
Exons: 11
Source: RefSeq, a predicted model, not a curated record
GCGUGAGGUGAUCAACGCAUUUAUGCAAAGCUCGAUUUAGGCAGCGUGGUCUUAAAAGUCACAAGUGACGGCUGUGAAUUUUGAAUAUAUAUAUAUAUAUAUAUAUAUAUAUAUAUAUAUUUCAGCACCCAUUGAUGGCUUAAUUUAUAAGAGGAAAAUGGAGAAAAGAGAUGAGUGUGGUGUCGUGUUUGAGGUGAACGGCGAGAGAUUUGCGGUGGCCGAAGUUGAUCCCUCCACCACUUUGCUCGACUUCUUGCGCUCCGCCACUCCUUUCAAGAGCCUCAAGCUCGGCUGCGGCGAAGGUGGGUGUGGAGCUUGUGUGGUGGUGGUGUCGAGAUUCAACCCUGUGCUUAAGCAAAGAGAGAUUUUCAGCGUGAGUUCUUGCCUGACUCUUGUCUGCAGCGUCAAUGGCUUCUCCAUCACCACAAGCGAAGGCCUCGGAAAUAGCAAAGACGGCUUCCACCCAAUCCACCAAAGGUUUGCCGGAUUCCACGCCUCUCAAUGCGGCUUCUGCACUCCCGGAUUCUGCAUGUCGUUUUUCUCAGCGCUCGCCAACGCCGACGCAACUCCUCCUCACGCGCCGCCGCAGCCCCCCCGCGGAUUCUCCAGCCUCACGCUCUCUCAAGCCCAAACGGCUAUAACAGGAAACCUCUGCCGAUGCACCGGCUACCGCCCCAUUGCCGACGCCUGCAAGAGCUUCGCCGCCGAUGUAGAUCUCGAGGAUUUGGGGAUCAACUCUUUCUGGAAAAGGGGCGAAGCUAGGGUUAGUAAAUUGCCACCGUACAAUCCAGAAGAGGAUGUUUGUCCAUAUGUGCAACAAUGUCGAGAGGAAUGUGAGUCGAUUUUGAACUCUGAGAGGCUUUCUUGGUUCACUCCGGUUAGUCUGGAGGAGCUCGGCAGCUUGUUGAUCACCGGAGAUGGCGCCUCCGUCAAGCUAGUUGUCGGGAACACGGGGACGGGGUAUUACAAAGAGACAGAAAAGUAUGACAGAUACAUUGAUCUUAGGUACAUUCCGGAGCUCUCAAUGGUGACAAGGGAUGCCUCCGGGGUUGAAUUCGGAGCAGCUUUUCCGAUUUCAAGAGUUAUAUCGUAUCUCAAGGAGGAAGGGAAAUCCAGCUUAGUCUUGGAGAAGAUAGCUGAGCAUAUGGAGAGGGUUGCUUCCAUUUUCAUCAGGAACUCAGCCAGCAUAGGGGGGAAUUUGGUGAUGGCACAGAGGAGAUCUUUCCCUUCAGAUAUUGCUACAUUGCUUCUUGCUGUGGGCUCGACUCUAGCUCUUUUGAGAGGCCGUGCACGGGAAAGAAUCACGAUGGAUGAGUUCUUGUACGGCCCACCUCUCGCCCCUGAAGACGUGCUCCUGAGUGUCCACAUUCCUUUCUUGGAUUGUAGUGCGAGUGAUUCGAGAUUGGGGUUUGAGAGCUACCGAGCUGCACCAAGGCCGCUUGGGAAUGCAUUGCCAUACUUGAAUGCUGCUUUCUUGGCUGAUGUUAGCUUUAAAGAGGGUGGUGGUGGUGUUGUGAACUAUGCUCGGCUGGCUUUUGGCGCUUAUGGGAUAGACCACGCGACGAGGGCUAGGGAAGUGGAGGAGUAUCUGGCAGGGAAAACACUAACUGUUGAAGUUUUGUAUGAAGCACUUACAUUGGUGAAACGUGCUGUUGAACCUGAAGAUGGAACGUCGUAUCCUGCUUACAGGAAGAGCUUAGCAGCGAGUUUCUUGUUUUCGUUUCUCACUACGUUUGUUGAUGUCUCUUCUCCCACAUUUGGUGGCUCACUGUCGGAGGUAGCUGCAUUGGUCUCAUCUGCAAAACAGUCUGUUGAGUCUAGUGAUUACUAUCCUGUUGGUGAGCCUAUCCCCAAAGCUGGAGCUGUCAUCCAAGCUUCUGGUGAAGCUGUGUACGUUGAUGACAUUCCUUCGCCUCCACAUUGUCUGCACGGAGCACUUAUUUGUAGCACGAAGCCUCUAGCUCGAGUGAAGGGUGUCUCCUUCGAGAGUGUCCCAAAACCGAGUGGAAUUGUUGAUGUUAUCUCUGCCAAAGACAUCCCCGAAGGAGGAGAAAAUAUAGGAGCCACGGCCUUCUUUGGUUCUGAAUAUUUGUUUGCUGGUGAUACGACCGGGUUUGCUGGUGAUAUAAUCGCGUUUGUGGUUGCAGAUAGACAAAAGGAAGCCAACCUUGCUGCAAGAAUGGCUCAAGUGGAUUAUGAGACAGAAGGCUUAGAUCCACCAAUCUUGACCGUUGAAGAUGCUGUCGAAAACUCAAGUUUCUUCGAUCCUCCUCCUCCUCGUUACGAACCUUACUUAAAGACGGAAGUGAUUGGUGAUUUCUCCAAAGGAAUGGCUGAAGCUGAUCACAAGAUUCUCUCUGCAGAGAUUAUACUUGGUUCUCAAUACUACUUCUACAUGGAGACGCAAACAGCGCUUGCGAUCCCAGAUGAAGACAACUGCAUGGUGGUCUAUAGUGCAGUCCAAUCCCCUGAGUUUACUCAAAUUUCCAUUGCACGAUGUCUUGGUGUCCCCGAGCACAAUGUUCGUGUUAUUACAAGACGACUAGGUGGAGGCUUCGGUGGAAAGUGUCAACGAGCAAUGAAGGUAGCUACAGCAUGUGCACUUGCAGCUCAAAAACUACGGCGACCAGUCAGAAGCUAUAUAGAUCGAAACACUGACAUGAUAAUCGCAGGUGGGAGACAUCCUAUGAAGAUAACCUACAGCGUUGGAUUCAAGUCCAAUGGCAAGAUGACAGCACUUCACCUCGACAUACUUAUCGAUGCAGGCUUCUUUAUAGACUUCAGCCCCUUCAUCCCACACAUGAUAGUUGCAGGAGUGAAAAAGUACAACUGGGGAGCUCUCUCUUUCGACAUAAAACUAUGCAAGACCAACAAUACCAGCAAAUCAAUGGUGCGGGCCCCAGGCGACGUGCAGGGGAGUUUCAUCGCUGAAGCUAUAAUAGAGCGCGUCGCGUCUGUGCUGUCAAUGGAGCCCUUCUCAGUCAGAGAAAUCAAUUUUCACACACACGAGAGCCUGCAACUGUUCUAUGCUGAUGCUGCUGGGGACUUCUCGGAGUACACUCUGCCUCGUAUUUGGGAUCAGUUGGUUAAAUCAUCGUGCUAUGUGGAGAGGAUUGCAUCGGUACAGCAGUUUAAUCGUUCUAACAUGUGGCGCAAAAGAGGCAUUUCUUGCGUGCCGGUUGUGUAUGAAGUGGUAGUGAGUGGGUUCCCGGGGAAAGUAAGCAUCCUUAAUGAUGGAUCUGUCGUUGUAGAAGUUGGAGGCAUAGAGAUGGGGCAAGGGCUUUGGACAAAGGUUAAACAAGCGACUGCCUAUGCUCUCGGCUUGAUCCAAUGUGAUGGAACGGACGACCUACUUGAAAAAGUUCGAGUUGUACAGUCAGACACGUUGAGCCUAGUACAAGGAGGCUUAACUGCCGGAAGCACCACGUCUGAAGCAUGCUGUGCAGCUGUGAUCGAAUGCUGUAAUGUUUUAGUUGAAAGGUUAAGCCUUCUUGCCACAUCGCUGCAAGAGCAACAGGGUUCAGUCCAAUGGAAUGAUCUGAUUCUUGAGGCACGUAAUCAGUCUAUAAAUUUGGCAGCAAAUUCCUACUUUGUUCCUGAGCCUAGUUCUACAAAAUACUUGAACUACGGUGCUGCAGUAAGCGAGGUGGAGAUAUGCGUCCUCACAGGCGAAAAAUCUAUACUGAGAACAGAUAUCAUCUACGAUUGUGGGCAGAGCUUGAACCCUGCUGUUGAUUUGGGACAGAUUGAAGGAUCUUUCAUUCAAGGAGUGGGUUUUUUCAUGCUUGAAGAAUACUUGACUAAUGAAGAGGGACUGGUCACUACAAACAGCACAUGGACUUACAAGAUCCCGAGCCUCGACAACAUUCCCAAGCAGUUCAAUGCUGAGGUGCUCAACAGCGGACGUCACCCAGGCCGCGUGCUCUCGUCUAAGGCUAGUGGCGAACCUCCUCUGCUUCUGGCAGUUUCUGUGUACUGCGCUACAAGAGCAGCUGUGGUUGAGGCUAGAAAACAGCUCAAAGCUUGGGGAGCCACGCAAGGGACUGAUUCCGAUUUCCAACUCGAUGUUCCGGCUACUUUGCCCGUCGUUAAGCAAUACUGCGGCCUCGAUUAUAUCGAGGCCUACUUGCGCAACUUGCUUGCUCCUUUUUGAAGCUGCGUCGCCAUUGCUUCGUUUGGCCUCGUCGUCGGCAUCAUCUUCUAUAGGUUGUGUUGCAGAGGUGAGGGUAAAGAAGUUUACAGCAACAACAACAAAGGUAAUGAUCGGUAUGAAGAUGAUGAGAAUGGUGGUAUUGGUGCUAGUAGUUACAGAAGCAACAGCAGAAAAAGAAUGUGUGAAAUACAAAGACCCAAAACAGCCAUUGAUUGCAAGAAUCAAAGACUUGAUGAAGAGAAUGAGCCUUGAAGAAAAGAUUGGGAAGAAAACAAAUAUUUCAUUGGUAAUUCUUUUUUCUUUCUUUAUUAAUUUGAUCAACCAACAUCCCUAGCUACAAUAUUCAUGUCUUUAAAAUGAUAUGGUAAUAAUUAUCUUCUUUUAUACACGCCAAUGUAAAUAUGUAAUGAUGGUGUGGGAGAAAUAAAAUUGCAAUAGAUAAUUACAAAUUAAA